RNAcentral lists this unclassified non-coding RNA (194 nucleotides) under Glomeraceae sp. RNAcentral describes it as "partial contains 5.8S ribosomal RNA and internal transcribed spacer 2". The stretch from base 1 to 71 matches the Rfam family "5.8S ribosomal RNA", at positions 84 to 154 of the family's 154-position model. Lineage: Eukaryota; Fungi; Glomeromycota; Glomeromycetes; Glomerales; Glomeraceae. The record is from RNAcentral.
GUGAAUCAUCGAAUUUUUGAACGCAAAUUGCACUCCCUGGUAUUCCGGGGAGUAUGCCUGUUUGAGGGUGGUUAGAAUAAAAAAUCGAGGCGUCGUUCUUUUUUUUAAGGGGGAUCGUUUUGGAAUUGAGCGUUCUUUCAAAUGUAAUUUAUUGUAAAGGUGGUUUAAAAUUUUUCAAUACGGUAUGAUUAAAG